Molecule: ribosomal RNA, 516 nt
Filed under: uncultured bacterium
Lineage: Bacteria
Description: bacterial SSU rRNA
Rfam family: Bacterial small subunit ribosomal RNA
Source: RNAcentral
UGAAGGAAGGAAGGAUCUAUGGUUCGUAAACUUCUUUUGCAGGGAAAAAAAGUGCAGGACGUGUCCUGUUUUGUAUGUACCCUGAGAAUAAGGAUCGGCUAACUCCGUGCCAGCAGCCGCGGUAAUACGGAGGAUCCGAGCGUUAUCCGGAUUUAUUGGGUUUAAAGGGUGCGUAGGUGGUUUGAUAAGUCAGCGGUGAAAGUUUGCAGCUUAACUGUAAAAAUGCCGUUGAAACUGUCGGACUUGAGUGUAAAUGAGGUAGGCGGAAUGCGUGGUGUAGCGGUGAAAUGCAUAGAUAUCACGCAGAACUCCGAUUGCGAAGGCAGCUUACUAAGCUACAACUGACACUGAAGCACGAAAGCGUGGGGAUCAAACAGGAUUAGAUACCCUGGUAGUCCACGCAGUAAACGAUGAUUACUAGCUGUUUGCGAUACACAGUAAGCGGCACAGCGAAAGCGUUAAGUAAUCCACCUGGGGAGUACGCCGGCAACGGUGAAACUCAAAGGAAUUGACGGA